Coturnix japonica (Japanese quail) is the source of this 104-nucleotide non-coding RNA. The record is from RefSeq and is a predicted model, not a curated record. Lineage: Eukaryota; Metazoa; Chordata; Aves; Galliformes; Phasianidae.
UAAAACUGUGGAGUGUUGGCUAGGGUUGCAGUUGCUGGAGCAGUGACCUCUUCACAUUCUUGGUCCAGUUCACCAGGCAUGAAAUAACACCACUGGAUUGCAGG